UACGUAGGUGGCAAGCGUUGUCCGGAUUUACUGGGCGUAAAGAGCGCGCAGGCGGUCGAUUUAGUCGCGUGUGAAAGCCCCCGGCUCAACUGGGGAGGGUCACGCGAUACUGAUCGACUCGAAGGCAGGAGAGGGUAGUGGAAUUCCCGGUGUAGUGGUGAAAUGCGUAGAUAUCGGGAGGAACACCAGUGGCGAAGGCGACUGCCUGGCCUGUUCUUGACGCUGAGGCGCGAAAGCCAGGGGAGCAAACGGG
This 253-nucleotide ribosomal RNA is filed under the name uncultured bacterium. RNAcentral's name for it is "partial 16S ribosomal RNA". It matches the Rfam family "Bacterial small subunit ribosomal RNA", at positions 524 to 776 of the family's 1533-position model. The record is from RNAcentral.